This 67-nucleotide transfer RNA is filed under the name Emberiza rustica (rustic bunting). RNAcentral's name for it is "Schoeniclus rusticus (rustic bunting) tRNA-Cys". Lineage: Eukaryota; Metazoa; Chordata; Aves; Passeriformes; Fringillidae. The record is from RNAcentral.
GGCCCUGUAGUGAAAUUCAUAGUGAGUUGCAAGCUCAUUGAUGUGCAUUGAUUAUGUACCGGGGUCU